CCGACUGCUAUCAGAGUAGGACUAAGCCAUGCGAGUCAACGCCGCAAGGCGUGGCAUACGGCUCAGUAACACGUAGUCAACAUGCCCAAAGGACGUGGAUAACCUCGGGAAACUGAGGAUAAACCGCGAUAGGCCAAGGUUUCUGGAAUGAGCCAUGGCCGAAAUCUAUAUGGCCUUUGGAUUGGACUGCGGCCGAUCAGGCUGUUGGUGAGGUAAUGGCCCACCAAACCUGUAACCGGUACGGGCUUUGAGAGAAGGAGCCCGGAGAUGGGCACUGAGACAAGGGCCCAGGCCCUAUGGGGCGCAGCAGGCGCGAAACCUCUGCAAUAGGCGAAAGCUUGACAGGGUUACUCUGAGUGAUGCCCGCUAAGGGUAUCUUUUGGCACCUCUAAAAAUGGUGCAGAAUAAGGGGUGGGCAA
This 419-nucleotide ribosomal RNA is filed under the name uncultured archaeon. Its description in RNAcentral is "bacterial SSU rRNA". It matches the Rfam family "Archaeal small subunit ribosomal RNA", at positions 24 to 449 of the family's 1478-position model. The record is from RNAcentral.